UCAUCCUUACAAUACUACAUCGGCCUCUGAGUUGACAUAUAAUCACAAAAGGGACAAAACAAAUACCUAUAUAACAAUAGGAUCAUAAAUUAAUAUUUAUAUCCAAUGAUCAAUUCCAACAGGAAGAUAGUAAGACGAGACAGACGAAGUGUAAAGUGUAAACUCCCCUCCGUGGCCCACAACAACUAAUAGAUAAUGACCCAUUCGCUCUUUUGUUUCUAAAUAUCUGCAAAUCAAAUGGAUAAGGUGCAUUCAGUCAGAGGUUCACAAACACUUCACCCCUUCUCAUAGUUAACUCACUACUCCAGUUUGCUCCCAACAAACUGGAGCAAAAAUUCGAAGAAUGAUUCAUCUAAAAGCAAUUCACUCCCCUUUGACACCAAAGCAACAUGCUCUUUUUAUAGAAAUGGCCAAUUCCGAAGGAAAAAACACCCCAUUCUCUGCCUCUGCAAACCGAAUGAUUCAGAUUCAGACGCUCCUCCACCUCCGCCUCAAGGAGACAGCCGUCAGCAGGAACUACUUGCGAGGAUUGCCCAGCUUCAAACUCAGAAAGUUCGGCUUACCAACUACUUAGACGAAAGAUCUGCUUACCUGUCCCAGUUUGCUGAAGAUGCCAAUGCCGAGAUUGACCAGAUAGGGGAAAAUGCCCUCAAAGAGCUUGAUGAAGCUGGUGCAAGGGUCUGCACUCAACUGCAUAACCAAAUCAUACAGAAAGUGGAGUUCAGUUUUCAUCUCUCAAUUACACAGUUCUUGAUUUGUUCUUUUUUUCUUUCUUUGUGGAACAGAUAAUGGAAAAUAUAGAGAGCCGGAUGCAAGCUUUUGAAGAAUCAAUAGAGUUAAACAAACAGGAGAUAGAGGAGAACGAGAAGAAGUUGGCGGACUUUGAGGGCCAAAUGGAGGAAGAGAGAAAUGAAGGGCUUCUCUUCAAGAACUUAGGGCAAAAACAAUAAGUGGAUAAAGCAAAAGCUAAGGAGGAAACUGACAAGAUUAAGCAAACUCAGUAAAGAAACUGCUGAGUCAAAGACUAGAAGGAAUAUCUACCUUGCACUUAUCGGUGUUGUAGUAGUUGGAAUUACGAGUGCCUUAAUCUCUUCACCUUCUGACAGGACAAAGAGUGCAGUUCUUGGAGCGAUCUUGGUG
RNAcentral lists this long non-coding RNA (1140 nucleotides) under Nicotiana benthamiana. Its description in RNAcentral is "long non-coding RNA (NBEN_LNC035097)". The record is from RNAcentral. Lineage: Eukaryota; Viridiplantae; Streptophyta; Magnoliopsida; Solanales; Solanaceae.